CCAGCAGCCGCGGUAAUUCCAGCUCCAAUAGCGUAUAUUUAAGUUGCUGCAGUUAAAAAGCUCGUAGUCGGAUUUUGGCUGAGAACGGUCGGUCCGCCGUUAGGUGUGCACUGACUGGUCUCAGCUUCCUGGUGAGGAGGUGUGCUUCACGGCCACUUAGUCACCGUGGUUACUUUGAAAAAAUUAGAGUGUUCAAAGCGGGCUUACGCUUGAAUAUAUUAGCAUGGAAUAACACCAUAGGACUCCUGUCCUAUUUCGUUGGUCUCGGGACGGGAGUAAUGAUUAAGAGGAACAGUUGGGGGCAUUCGUAUUUCAUUGUCAGAGGUGAAAUUCUUGGAUUUAUGAAAGACGAACUUCUGCGAAAGCAUUUGCCAAGGAUGUUUUCAUUGAUCAAGAACGAAAGU
Molecule: ribosomal RNA, 404 nt
Filed under: uncultured eukaryote
Lineage: Eukaryota
Description: SSU rRNA
Rfam family: Eukaryotic small subunit ribosomal RNA
Source: RNAcentral